AGUACUACUGUUUUAGUUUUGAGGAUUUUGUUUUAUUUGUUUUUUUAAUUAAUUUUUUUUAUGUGCAUUGGUGUUCUACCUGGAAGUAUGUCUGUAUGAGGCUAUCAGAUCCUGGAGUUACAGUUGUGAGCCGCCAAGUGGGAGCUGGGAUUUGAACCUAGGUCCUCUGGGAGAGCAGUCAGUGCUCCCAACUGCUGAGCCAUCUCUCCAGCCCCUUGUUUUAUUUUUUGCGACAGGGUCUCACUGUAUACACCAGGCUGGCCUCUGCCAGCUGAGUACUGGGACUAAAGGCUCACAUGACCAAGCCUGGCUGGUUUGGUUCUUUUGAGACAAUGUGUCCUGUAGCCCUGCUGGUGUCAAACUUGCUGUGUAGCCAGAAUGACCCUCUCUCCACCUUCAGAGCACUGAGAUGACGUUUGUGCACCAUUAUUCUUUUUAUUUUUAGGGUACUGA
RNAcentral lists this long non-coding RNA (453 nucleotides) under Rattus norvegicus (Norway rat). RNAcentral describes it as "long non-coding RNA NONRATT030282". Lineage: Eukaryota; Metazoa; Chordata; Mammalia; Rodentia; Muridae. The record is from RNAcentral.